Long non-coding RNA from Apis florea (little honeybee), 103 nucleotides. The record is from RefSeq and is a predicted model, not a curated record. Lineage: Eukaryota; Metazoa; Arthropoda; Insecta; Hymenoptera; Apidae.
AGGAAGGAGAGAGAGAGAGAGAGAAAGAUAAAAAAAAAACUUUUCUUCCCGAUUUUUAAUACGCUUCGCUCGAUACGAUUCACGAUCGUUCGUUUCCCCCCCC